GUCCACGCCGUAAACGAUGUCGACUUGGAGGUUGUGCCCUUGAGCCGUGGCUUCCGGAGCUAACGCGUUAAGUCGACCGCCUGGGGAGUACGGCCGCAAGGUUAACUCAAAUGAAUUGACGGGCCGCACAAGCGGUGGAGCAUGUGGUUUAAUUCGAUGCAACGCGAAGAACCUUACCUGGUCUUGACAUCCACGGAAGUUUUCAGAGAUGAAGAAUGUGCCUUCGGGAACCGUGAGACAGGUGCUGCAUGGCUGUCGU
This 259-nucleotide ribosomal RNA is filed under the name uncultured bacterium. Its description in RNAcentral is "partial 16S ribosomal RNA". It matches the Rfam family "Bacterial small subunit ribosomal RNA", at positions 793 to 1055 of the family's 1533-position model. The record is from RNAcentral.